RNAcentral lists this ribosomal RNA (486 nucleotides) under uncultured bacterium. RNAcentral describes it as "partial 16S ribosomal RNA". It matches the Rfam family "Bacterial small subunit ribosomal RNA", at positions 29 to 507 of the family's 1533-position model. The record is from RNAcentral.
AUUGAACGCUGGCGGCAUGCCUUACACAUGCAAGUCGAACGGCAGCACGGGUGCUUGCCCCUGGUGGCGAGUGGCGAACGGGUGAGUAAUACAUCGGAACAUGUCCUGUAGUGGGGGAUAGCCCGGCGAAAGCCGGAUUAAUACCGCAUACGAUCUACGGAUGACAGCGGGGGCCCUUCUGGCCUCGCGCUUUAGUGUUGGCCGAUGGCUGAUUAGCUAGUUGGUGGGGUAACGGCGUACCAAGGCGACGAUGAGCAGCCGGUCGGAGAGGGCGACCAGCCACACUGGAACUGAGACACGGAGCAGAGCCCUACGGAGGGCAGCAGUAGGGAAUCUUCCGCAAUGGGCGAAAGCCUGACGGAGCAACGCCGCGUGAAUGAUGAAGGUCUUCGGAUCGUAAAACGCGGUUAGUAGGGAAGAACAAAUGUGUAAGUAACUAUGCACGUCUUGACGGGACCUAAUCAGAAAGCCACGGCUAACUACGUG